This 73-nucleotide transfer RNA is filed under the name Actinia tenebrosa (Australian red waratah sea anemone). RNAcentral describes it as "tRNA-Ile". It matches the Rfam family "tRNA". From Rfam's summary of the family: Transfer RNA (tRNA) molecules are approximately 80 nucleotides in length. Their secondary structure includes four short double-helical elements and three loops (D, anti-codon, and T loops). The record is from Rfam by way of RNAcentral. Lineage: Eukaryota; Metazoa; Cnidaria; Anthozoa; Actiniaria; Actiniidae.
GGUCCGUUAGCUCAGACGGCAGAGCCUGGUGCUAAUAACGCUAAGGUCAUGGGUUCGAGCACCAUACGGACCA